UACAGAGGUCUCAAGCGUUGUUCGGAUUCAUUGGGCGUAAAGGGUGCGUAGGCGGCGCGGUAAGUCGGAUGUGAAAUCUCGGGGCUUAACUCCGAAACUGCAUUCGAUACUGCCGUGCUUGAGGACUGGAGAGGAGACUGGGAAUUUACGGUGUAGCGGUGAAAUGCGUAGAUAAUCGUAAGGAAGACCAGUGGCGAAGGCGGG
RNAcentral lists this ribosomal RNA (204 nucleotides) under uncultured bacterium. Its description in RNAcentral is "partial 16S ribosomal RNA". It matches the Rfam family "Bacterial small subunit ribosomal RNA", at positions 524 to 725 of the family's 1533-position model. The record is from RNAcentral.